GUAGUCUGCAACUCGACUACAUGAAGCUGGAAUCGCUAGUAAUCGCGAAUCAGAAUGUCGCGGUGAAUACGUUCCCGGGUCUUGUACACACCGCCCGUCACACCAUGGGAGUCAGUAACGCCCGAAGUCAGUGACCCCAACCGAACAGGGAGGGAGCUGCCGAAGGUGGGACCGAUAACUGGGGUGAAGUCGUAACAAGGUACC
Molecule: ribosomal RNA, 204 nt
Filed under: uncultured bacterium
Lineage: Bacteria
Description: partial 16S ribosomal RNA
Rfam family: Bacterial small subunit ribosomal RNA
Source: RNAcentral